ACUGGCCAGCGUCAUCGAGUGCAGUCGUACUGUCACGUGGUGCAUCUUUGUUUUGCAGUACUUCUCCCCUGUUCAUCAAUUUUUGCGAUGGCUGAAACGAAGGGACAGCAUGCUUCUAUAAAAUUCUGCUUUCUGCUAGGGAAAACGGUGGCUGAAACAGUUGUCAUGCUUUAAACAGCUUAAAAGAAUGCUGCCAUGCAC
Long non-coding RNA from Octopus sinensis (East Asian common octopus), 201 nucleotides. RefSeq lists it as uncharacterized. NCBI's taxonomy places the organism in Eukaryota, Metazoa, Mollusca, Cephalopoda, Octopoda, Octopodidae. The record is from RefSeq and is a predicted model, not a curated record. The transcript has 3 exons.